CUGACUUUGACGAGUUGACAGAAGUAGGCUUCAGAAGGUCGGUAAUAACAAACUUCUCUGAGCUAAAGGAGGAUGUUCGAACCCAUCACAAGGAAGCUGAAAACCUUGAAAAAAGAUCAGAUGAAUGGCUAACUAGAAUAAACAGCGUAAAGAAGACCUUAAAUGAACUGAUAGAGCUGAAAACCAUGGCAUGAGAACUAUGUGAUGCAUGCACAAGCUUCAGUAGCCGAUUGGAUCAAGUGGAACAGAGAGUAUCAAUGAUUGAAGAUCAAAUGAAUGAAAUGAAGCGAGAAGAGAAGUUUAGAGAGAAAAGAGUAAAAAGAAACAAACAAAGCCUCAAAGAAAUAUGGGACUAUGUGAAAAGACCAAAUCUACAUUUGAUUGGUGUACCUGAAAGUGAUGGGAGAAUGGAACCAAGUUGGAAAACACUCUUCAGGAUAUUACCCAGGAGAACUUCCCCAACCUAGCAAGGCAGACCAACAUUCAAUUUCAGGAAAUACAGAGAAUGCCACAAAGACACUCCUUGAGAAGAGCAACACCAAGAUAUAUAAUUAUCAGAUUCUCCAAGGUUGUGUGGGGAGGGCAGAUUUCCCCAGAAGACUGCCAGGGAAAGCCUUUGUCAUUGCCUAUGGAAAGGCCUGAACAUUCACACAUAGAUUUCUUUUCCCCCAGGAACUGCUCUCCUAACAUGGAGCCAAAGCAACUUCCUAAGAAAGGGCAAAAUUCAAAUGACAAACAUCUGUCCUUCCAUGUGGCCUUUUUUAGAUAAAUAUUCUGACUCAAUGAAUGACCUCAUUUGAGAAAGCCUUUUGUAACUCAGGUGUUUGCAGAUCAACAAAUGGUACCAUUUAGGAAGUCCACCUCAAAAACAGAUGCAAAGUCUAUGAAUAAUUUGAACAAAAUGAAGGAUCUUUUUUAAAAAAAUGUAUAAGAAGACAGGUGACAUAGCAAAACCCAACUUUUUCUUCCUUUCUAAGGAAUAUUGCUUAAAAACCAUUCCAUGAACCACAGACUUAGUUAUAACUUUUCACAUAUUUCAAAUUACUUGAGCAGGAAAAUAUACACACAAUCACAGAAUUCUCAUUAGCUCUGCCCAGUAGGUUUAUUAGAGCUGAUUAUAUCAAUGCUCACUUCUUUUAGUCUCCUCUUAUGAUCAACACAUUAUUAUUUUUUUCUUUUUUCUUUUUUUUCUUUUUUUUUGAGACAUAGUCUUGCUCUGUCACCUAGACUAUAGUGCAGUGGUGCAAUCUCAGCUCACUGCAACCAACCUCCCCAACAACAAGCCUCACCCCAGGUUUAAGCGAUUCUUGUGGCUCAGCCACCCGAGUAGUUGAGAAUAUAGGCAUGUGCCACCAUACUCAGCUAAUUUUUGUGUUUUUAGUAGACAUAGGGUUUUGCCAUGUUGGCCAGGCUGAUCUCGAACUCCUGGCCUCAAGUGAUCUGCCUGCCUCAGCCUCCCAAAAUGCUGGAAUUACAGGCAUGAGCUACCACUCCUGAGACAUUACUUUUAAGAAGGACUUUGCAACACAGUGGACAGGACUCAAAGGUAUGUGGUAAGGAUAGCAAGGAACAAAACUUGGGAAUCUUUUGCUGGGAAAAAGAGACUCAUAAGGGUGGGUAGGCAAUAAAAUAAUUAUCUUCAAUAUUUCCUAGAUUAGACAUAAUCAGAG
Molecule: long non-coding RNA, 1670 nt
Organism: Papio anubis (olive baboon)
Lineage: Eukaryota; Metazoa; Chordata; Mammalia; Primates; Cercopithecidae
Source: Ensembl